Molecule: transfer RNA, 85 nt
Filed under: Planctomycetaceae bacterium
Lineage: Bacteria; Pseudomonadati; Planctomycetota; Planctomycetia; Planctomycetales; Planctomycetaceae
Also listed under: 1 other name
Description: tRNA-Leu
Rfam family: tRNA
About the family: Transfer RNA (tRNA) molecules are approximately 80 nucleotides in length. Their secondary structure includes four short double-helical elements and three loops (D, anti-codon, and T loops). Further hydrogen bonds mediate the characteristic L-shaped molecular structure. tRNAs have two regions of fundamental functional importance: the anti-codon, which is responsible for specific mRNA codon recognition, and the 3' end, to which the tRNAs corresponding amino acid is attached (by aminoacyl-tRNA synthetases). tRNAs cope with the degeneracy of the genetic code in two manners: having more than one tRNA (with a specific anti-codon) for a particular amino acid; and 'wobble' base-pairing, i.e. permitting non-standard base-pairing at the 3rd anti-codon position.
Source: RNAcentral
GCGGACGUGGCGGAAUUGGCAGACGCGCAAGACUUAGGAUCUUGUACCGCAAGGUGUGUGGGUUCAAGUCCCACCGUCCGCACCA